Long non-coding RNA from Zingiber officinale, 1335 nucleotides. RefSeq lists it as uncharacterized. The transcript is spliced from 3 exons. Lineage: Eukaryota; Viridiplantae; Streptophyta; Magnoliopsida; Zingiberales; Zingiberaceae. The record is from RefSeq and is a predicted model, not a curated record.
AGAUUGCCUGAUCGCAUCCAUUAAUUACGAUUUCGUCUGCUCACUUCUCCGCUCUCUCCUCGAAUCCCUAUCAGCUCAGCUACCUCCGUCGGUGGAUCUGGAUCUCUGAUCGAAGCCACGAAUGCAGGCAUGCUUAGAUCCCCCAUUUUCGUCAUCGAAAUCGACGUAUCUGUGAGAGAAAUCGAUCAGAGAUGGAUUUUGCUUCCGGAUCCGAAAAUAAGAUGAUAUCUUUCUUCUGAUUCCUUGUUUUCUGCUGCCUGCUGCUUGUUGCUUGGCCUUUCUCCGAUCUGAACUGGUUUUAUCUACCUGGAAGCUUCCCCCUCAUGAGUAUCUGGUCGGAGUCAAAGAGGUCCUGCCGACGAAGGUCAACUCGCUUACCUCCAUCGAGACCGAGCUUCCUUUCAACAACUAUAGUCUUCCAUUUUGCCACCCUCACGAUGGAACGCCAAGAAUCUUGGGAGCUCCUCAUGGGAAACGGAUCUCAAACAGGGCUGGGCUACAACCCAAGAGAGCCCCACUGUAGAUCCGUCUCUGGAUUAAACACACUACUUUAAUUUACCAAAGGGCAUAUUCACUUACGUGUUCUUCAUAUUUUACUCUUCCCAACAAAUCUAGUAAAUUUUUUUUUCUUUUCUAUGUCAUUUUUUCUGUCAUUUUUUCCUCUCUUCUUUGUCCUCUCUUCUAUAUAUGUUAUUGAUGUUGUUAGCAUUAACAAUCUAACCUAGAUUUUUUAUGAAUGUCAAAAUAGAUUAAGUUAAUUUAAUUGUGAUUUAAUACUUUAACUAAGUAUGCAGGAGAACCUCAGACUGAUCGACGAGCUGACCAGAUGCUUGACACGAAGUUCAGCUAGGUCAACGAGUCAACCUGAUAGCUGGUACGAAACCCAGACUGGUCGACGAGCUAACCGGAUGUCUGGCACGAAAUCCAGCUAGGUCGACGGGCUGACCUGAUAGCUGUCACGAAGUCCAGACGGGUCGACGGGCUGACCGGACGUCUGGCAAGAGAAGGACUUUCUGGAGAAAGGUGGUUCGGGCGCCCGGAACUGGUCCGGACGCUUGAAAGGAAAAUUCUAUCCCCGACAGCUUGGAGCGCGUUGAUUGAUCUGACGACGUCACGGUCAGGCGCCCGGAAGGAAUCGGGGAGCCUGGAGCCUCCUAUAUAAGGAGGGUGAGUCAUGAAGCAAAGAACAACAACGACAUCUACUCUACUGCGCCGUGCUCCUGCGACGUUGCGAAGCUUCUCCGACAACGUGCUGAUUUUUCUUUCCUUUAUUGUCGUCGGUAUUUCCUUUUUUAAAAGUUCUUGUACUUUCAUUUGUAAUAUUUUUACGAACUA